RNAcentral lists this ribosomal RNA (492 nucleotides) under uncultured bacterium. Its description in RNAcentral is "partial 16S ribosomal RNA". It matches the Rfam family "Bacterial small subunit ribosomal RNA", at positions 29 to 507 of the family's 1533-position model. The record is from RNAcentral.
AGUGAACGCUGGCGGUAGGCCUAACACAUGCAAGUCGAACGGCAGCACAGUAAGAGCUUGCUCUUACGGGUGGCGAGUGGCGGACGGGUGAGGAAUACAUCGGAUUCUACUUUUUCGUGGGGGAUAACGUAGGGAAACUUACGCUAAUACCGCAUACGUCCUACGGGUGAAAGCAGGGGAUCUUCGGACCUUGCGCGAGUGAAUAAGCCGAUGUCGGAUUAGCUCGUUGGCGGGGUAAAGGCCCACCAAGGCGACGAUGCGUAGCUGGUCUGAGAGGAUGAUUCGCCAGACUGGAAGUGAGACAGGGUCCCGACUCUGACAGGGAGACGCAGUCGGGAAUAUUAGACGAUGGGCGAGAGGCUGAUACAGCAAUACCGGGUGAGUGCAGAAGGACCUCUGGUUGUAAAGCCAUGUUGUUGGGAAAGAAAAGAAGCUGUUUAAUCCGCCGCUGUACUGACGGUACCCAAAGAAUAAGCACCGGCUAACUUCGUG